GAUCAUGGCUCAGGAUGAACGCUAGCUACAGGCUUAACACAUGCAAGUCGAGGGGAAACGACAUCGAAAGCUUGCUUCCGAUGGGCGUCGACCGGCGCACGGGUGAAUAACGCGUAUCCAACCUGCCCACCACUUGGGGGAUAACCUUGCGAAAGUAAGACUAAUACCCAAUGAUAUCUCUAGAAGACAUCUGAAAGAGAUUAAAGAUUCAUCGGUGAUGGAUGGGGAGUGCGU
RNAcentral lists this ribosomal RNA (234 nucleotides) under uncultured bacterium. Its description in RNAcentral is "partial 16S ribosomal RNA". It matches the Rfam family "Bacterial small subunit ribosomal RNA", at positions 15 to 236 of the family's 1533-position model. The record is from RNAcentral.